UUGUUGCAGUUAAAAAGCUCGUAGUUGGACCUUGGGCAGGAGGCACGGGUUGGCCGAAUGGCUCGACUCGGGUCUCCGGCCUCUAUGGGUGGUCGUGCCUUUGGUACGGUUCGCCCGGGUUACUGUGAAGAAAUUAGAGUGUUUAAAGCAGGCGAUUGCUUGGAUACAUCAGCAUGGAAUAACAAGAUAGGACCUGGUUCCACUUGUUGGUUUGGGGGCUUUGGUAAUGAUUAAUAGGGCCAGUUGGGGGCAUUAGUAUUCAGUAGUCAGAGGUGAAAUUCUUGGAUUUACUGAAGACUAACUAGUGCGAAAGCAUUUGCCAAGGAUGUUUUCAUUAAUCAAGAACGAAAGUUAGGGGAUCGAAGACGAUCAGAUACCGUCGUAGUCUUAACUAUAAACGAUGCCGACUCGGGAUCGGCAGACGUCGUUAGCGACACUGUCGGCACCGUGUGAGAAAUCAAAGUUUUUGGGUUCUGGGGGGAGUAUGGUCGCAAGGCUGAAACUUAAAGGAAUUGACGGAAGGGCACCACCAGGAGUGGAGCCUGCGGCUUAAUUUGACUCAACACGGGAAAACUCACCAGGUCCGGACAUAGUAAGGAUUGACAGAUUGAGAGCUCUUUCUUGAUUCU
Molecule: ribosomal RNA, 629 nt
Filed under: uncultured eukaryote
Lineage: Eukaryota
Description: SSU rRNA
Rfam family: Eukaryotic small subunit ribosomal RNA
Source: RNAcentral